RNAcentral lists this ribosomal RNA (253 nucleotides) under uncultured bacterium. RNAcentral describes it as "partial 16S ribosomal RNA". It matches the Rfam family "Bacterial small subunit ribosomal RNA", at positions 524 to 776 of the family's 1533-position model. The record is from RNAcentral.
UACGGAGGGGACUAGCGUUGUUCGGAAUUACUGGGCGUAAAGCGCACGUAGGCGGAUUUGUAAGUCAGGGGUGAAAUCCCGGGGCUCAACCUCGGAACUGCCUUUGAUACUGCAAAUCUCGAGUCCGGAAGAGGUGAGUGGAAUUCCUAGUGUAGAGGUGAAAUUCGUAGAUAUUAGGAAGAACACCAUUGGCGAAGGCGGCUCACUGGUCCGGUACUGACGCUGAGGUGCGAAAGCGUGGGGAGCAAACAGG